CGGAUCGGAGUCUGCAACCCGACUCCGUGAAGCUGGAUUCGCUGGUAAUCGCGCAUCAGCCAUGGCGCGGUGAAUACGUUCCCGGGCCUUGUACACACCGCCCGUCAAGCCAUGGAAGCCGGGGGUGCCUGAAGUGCGCUGCCGCAAGGAGCGCCCUAGGGUAAAACCGGUGACUGGGGCUAAGUCGUAACAAGGUAAC
Molecule: ribosomal RNA, 199 nt
Filed under: uncultured bacterium
Lineage: Bacteria
Description: partial 16S ribosomal RNA
Rfam family: Bacterial small subunit ribosomal RNA
Source: RNAcentral